RNAcentral lists this transfer RNA (75 nucleotides) under SAR324 cluster bacterium. RNAcentral's name for it is "tRNA-Thr". It matches the Rfam family "tRNA". Rfam says of the family: Transfer RNA (tRNA) molecules are approximately 80 nucleotides in length. Their secondary structure includes four short double-helical elements and three loops (D, anti-codon, and T loops). Lineage: Bacteria; Deltaproteobacteria. The record is from RNAcentral.
GCCCAUGUAGCUCAGAGGUAGAGCAGCUCAUUCGUAAUGAGCAGGUCGCAGGUUCAACUCCCGUCGUGGGCUCCA